AUUGAACGCUGGCGGCAGGCCUAACACAUGCAAGUCGAACGGUAACAGGAAGAAGCUUGCUUCUUUGCUGACGAGUGGCGGACGGGUGAGUAAUGUCUGGGAAACUGCCUGAUGGAGGGGGAUAACUACUGGAAACGGUAGCUAAUACCGCAUAACGUCGCAAGACCAAAGAGGGGGACCUUCGGGCCUCUUGCCAUCGGAUGUGCCCAGAUGGGAUUAGCUAGUAGGUGGGGUAACGGCUCACCUAGGCGACGACCCCUAGCUGGUCUGAGAGGAUGACCAGCCACACUGGAACUGAGACACGGUCCAGACUCCUACGGGAGGCAGCAGUGGGGAAUAUUGCACAAUGGGCGCAAGCCUGAUGCAGCCAUGCCGCGUGUAUGAAGAAGGCCUUCGGGUUGUAAAGUACUUUCAGCGGGGAGGAAGGGAGUAAAGUUAAUACCCUUGCCCAUUGACGUUACCCGCAGAAGAAGCACCGGCUAACUCCGG
RNAcentral lists this ribosomal RNA (489 nucleotides) under uncultured bacterium. Its description in RNAcentral is "partial 16S ribosomal RNA". It matches the Rfam family "Bacterial small subunit ribosomal RNA", at positions 30 to 506 of the family's 1533-position model. The record is from RNAcentral.